AGGGUUUCUCUGUGUAGCUUUGCGCCUUUCCUGGAACUCACUUGGUAGUCCAGGCUGGCCUCGAACUCACAGAGAUCCGCCUGCCUCUGCCUCCCGAGUGCUGGGAUUAAAGGCGUGCGCCACCACCGCCCGGCUAAUAGUCCUGUUUUAAUGGCUUGAGAUUCUCACAACAAAGUUCUUCAGUAAGUGCACCUUUAAGUUUAGCCUCAUCAGUAAGAAAACUGGAACAAAAUGGUAAAUUCUAAGGAAAUGCACUGCUUUUCCACCCUUUAUAGAGUCUGGGGAUAAAUGCAUUAUUUUAUCAUCAAAUACUUCUUCAAUACUGAGUUUAUAGCAGACUGUUUUUUGAAAUUUUUCCUUAUAAGUGUCUACUUCAGUACAUUGAUUCUUGAAUGUCAUGUCCAUUUUCUUCUAACACACACACACACACACACACACACACACACACACACACACACACGCACACACACACACACACACAGAGAGAGAGAGAGAGAGAGAGAGAGAGAGAGAGAGAGAAACACACUCAUUUCUAAAUCUCUGUAUGUGAAGUCAGCCUUUCUUUUAAAACGGAAUUUGCAAAAUGGUAGAGUGCUUUAAAGUUGUGCUGUUUCCUUUUUCUGACAAAAUUCCUAAAUAAAGCUUGUUAAACAUUGGAUGCUUGAUAUACAGCAUUUAGAAACUACACAAAAUGCGGUGGUAGAUAGGGUACUCUGCCUUCUCCCCCUACCAUGAGUUAAUGACAAUUGUCUCUGUGGUCUUGCUGAGGAGUUUGCCCGCAGGAAAACGAUCUGUAAAGGUGUAUGGACUCCAGCAGCCAGCUGCACACUCUUGAGUAGCUGACAGGCACAGAAACCAGAAGAGAGAGAGGACCCACAGGUACGAGGACCCAGAUCUGCGGACCUGGUGUUGGUCCUGGACCCUUUCCGUGAUAGAGACCUCCUAACGUCACCUGGGUAAGGGCGGGGCUUCUGAUCUGCCCUGACUGCUGCUCCACUCCAUUCGCAGCAGGUAAGCCAUUAUGCAUCUAAUCAGAGCAGUAUUUUCAGCUUACUCUCCAAGCAACAUCUCUGCAAAAGCAGCUCAAGCUGGUAAGAGAGACUUCUGCUCUGGACCCUAAAGAGUCUGGAGUCCUUCCCAGCGAAUUGUCUCUCAGCCUGCGGAGCACGCCAGCUCAAUUACAAGAGAAGGAGGUUGGUCCUUGCCACCGCCCUCCCCUCCUGUCUUCAGUAAGAGCGGGGAAGAGGAGAUCUUCUUCAGAGAGCACGGGAGUGACCAAGUGCAGCUGGCUACCAGGGCAGCGACCAGGGCGCGGGUCCUUUCUCCCUCCCGCUGCUAUGGCCGCCCUGUGCGCGCUGAGCCCAGCGCUGGACCAUCCUGGACUUGCCUUCUGAAGCGUCUAUCAGUGUGUUUGUCAGGGGACGGGGAGUGGGGAGGUGGGGAGGUGGGGGUCGGAUCUCUGGAGAGGGCUCCCGGCUUCCUAUGGAGAGAGGUCAGUGAGCAGCGACUGACCAGACCAGAGGAGGCAAAAGAGCAGGUGCGAGAGAAGUACCCCCAGAGGGCGGCCACAUGAAAUUCAAAGAUGCACACUACCUGCUGUGCUUGCUGCCUGCACGUUCUCAGCACUAGGAGGAAGCUUCUCUCAUGAUGGUUGAACAAGGCACUGAUCAUAAUGUCUUUUUGGAUCUGGGAUAUUUCACUCAAGAUGAUUUUUUCUAGUUCCAGAUAUUUCCUGACAUACAGGCUUAUCUUUCCUCAUAUCCUUACCAAAUGUGUUACCUCUUCUCUUAUCAUAGUAGCCAACUGGUCAGCUAUGAUAUAAAACAGAACUGGAUUAUUAAGCUUGGCUCUUCACUCUGGAAAUGGUUUCUUUUGCUGUGCAGAAGACUUUUAAUCUCAGGUGACAGCUGUGAACUGCUGUUGUAGAAAAACAGAUUCCAUCUUCCUACAAAUACAUCUGAGCAGUUUCUCUGGCUUCUGAUGCUGUAGCUCAGGAAGCCAUCACAGAAGGACUUUAAGGUCUUCCAGUACCUGCUGAACAAUGUAGGACCAGCAUGAGGACACUGGGGAAGAAAAAAUGUCAUUAAUGCUGCUUGGGAUCAUCCUGAAGUUGGAAUUAGCCUUGUGGAGUUUUUAAUUGUGGGAGUUGUUAUCUCUAUUUCAACAAUGCUUAAAAUAAUGUGGUUUAUCAUUUGUGUUUAUAUAAGUAGUUUCACAUUAUAUAGACUAACUUGUCCCAGGAAAAGAAAUAGAAAACAACUAGUGACCCCUUCUCUUAAAACAAUCUUUCUCUUCUUUUUGUACAAGUACAUUUUUAGAGAGACAUGGCUCUAGAUUCUGUUAACAAAUACAGGAUAAUGUAAUAAUUUUAUUUACUAAACAAAAUACCUUAAAAUUAUUAAUUCCAUUAUUAAAAUUUUUCAUAAAGAGCUUGCAAAUCAAAGACAUCAUGCACCCAAAUUGACCAGGCCUAAAGUCUAUACAACUCUUGAUCUUCUGUAAGGUUUGUAUAGCUGUUCUGAAGCUGUGGAGCCUCAAACUGGAUUAUACACAUUUUACUAUUGAAUAUAUUUUAUGUAUUUAUUAUCUAUAAUUUGGAUAAGUCCCAGUAAAUAUUUAAUGCCAUAUUUCUAAAACAUCAUAGAAAAUUUAAAGACAAAACAUUAAGGAAGAGGCACAUUGAAAUAGAAAAUUUUCAUGACUAUUAGCAUGUAAAUAGUACACAAAUUGUUAGAUUUAAUAACUAAUAGAAAAUCCUUUAAAAUUAGAAUUAUAUGUAUAAGAUAAUAAAGCCACAUUUAAGCCUAUUUUGUAACUCAAUUAAAAAUAUAAUUUAAAAGAGUCAGGUGACUAAGGAGAAGACUUAGGUAGGGGUAAAGAGUAUUUGCUACUCUUUCAGAGGAUAUGAGUUCCAGUUUCUAACACCCAUAUCUGGUAGUUCAUAGUUACUUGUAAUGCCAAAUCCAAGGGUUGUGAUACUCUUUUCCAGCCACUGUGCACAACUUCUCAUAUAGACAUCCAUACAAACACAUAAAUAAAAAUUACAUAAAUCUACAAAGAGUUAGAAAUACCCUGUAGAGUUGGAUAAUGGUGCUAUUAAAAGCCAUGUAUUAUUAAAAAACUUUCCAGUACUAGAUGUGGGAUACUUACUUAUGAUGUUUUGGUCACAGAGGUCCAGGCCCCUAACCUAAUAACAUAUGUUUUAUAUAUUAAAGACAAAACAUUAAGGAAGAGGCACAUUGAAUUAGAAUACAUAUGAACAUAUAUUAUACAUACUCUUGACUAUAUAUACAUAUAUAUACAUGUAUACACACACUAUACACACACACACACACACACACACACACACACACACACACACACACAUAUAUAUAUAUAUAUAUAUAUAUAUAUAUAUAUGCUCUUGACAUUCAUCUUGGUUGUCCACCAGAACUAGAAAAUAAAAUUCUUUUGUUGAAGACACUGUAUAUGUUGGUUGUAAAACAGAGAAAUCAAACUGGAACUGAGCUAGGAGUAUCCUCCCUGCUGCCUAGCUCUCUUAAUCUUGGAGGGAGCCAUGCAAGUUGCUGAGGGAAAAAAGGCAUCCAUGUUCUUAACUAUCUGUGCAUCUUAUGAACUACAAUAUCAACCAGCCAGGCAAUAUGAGCCUAUUUGGGCAAUAAUGCUAUGGCUGUUAUGGUAGUGACCAACUGCUCUUUGAUUCGAUUUUUAGACUGGCUGCAUAGGAGGGAAUCCAUGUCUUUUACUCUAAACCCAUUCAAAAACACAUGACUGGGGAGGUCAUAGGCCUUAGGGUAGAACUUACUACUGUCAUUCAGCAACACUGACAUAGUCUCAAACUGCCUUUUAAACAUCUAGGUUUAUAUCCACAGACAUAUGCUGUUCUAAGUGUCCAUUAAUUCACUAGAAAAUCCUCUCUUGGUAGUGAAUCCUGGUGAAUGGAGAGAAUUAUGGCUACUUUGGUGCUGGAAAAAAGUGACAACUGAAUGCUGGGUCCUAACAAGACAUUUACACCAUCCCUUUUAAUGUUCAAAAGAAAAAAGGAAAAAACACAGAGGAAGUAGUGAAGUGGGAAGAAUGUAAUAGCAAGAAGAUGGAGAGACCAGAUAUGAAAUAUUAUCUACUUUACAGAACGUAGCUGGUGCAAGCAUGAACUCACAGUGUCUAAGUUCUGGAAAGGUUUCAGAUGACACCACACCCCUCUUAGAAUGUGACAGAAGCACAGUGUACAAGAGAACACUUUGCAUGUCCCAGCUGGAAAGUAUCAACUAACAGCUCAGAGCAAUGCAAUUAUUACUGAAUGUACUUGAGACCACCCCAGGGGGUUCCCUGUAUCAUAUGAGAUGAAUUUCAGCAAUCUGCAUUAUGUAGUGUUGUUGCACACUCAUAGUCCUUGUGAACACAUCACCAAAAACUUCUGAAGUAACUGCUCCUUCUUUCAAUGUGAGUGUUUACUGUUUAAUCUGUUCAGCAGCAUGCACAUCAUUAUAUUCUCAAAAUAUUCAUAGUAUUUGUUCUGUCAAGAGGGCUCACUACUUCAAGAAACUUGAAAAAACUGACAAUGACUUAUAAAUCAUUAACAUUUUAUACUGAGUAACAGUGUUUUUUCUACCAUUAUAAUUGGCAUUUAAAAAGUUAACUAGUAUUUUACAUUAUGUUUAACCAUCUGAAACAUUUAUGGUGAAAAAUAAAUGAAAAAAAAAAUAUAGAUUAAUCAUUAAUAGAAAUAGUCACAUUAUAAAUUCUACUUUAAAGCAAUUUUAUUUUAAAUAAAAUGUUGCAAUGAAUUAAAGUUCACAUAUGAAAAAUUUAUGCCUUAAAUUUCAAUUAAGAGAGACUGUGCAAACUAUAAUUUAUAAUUUCAAACAUAUUUCAUAGAGAGAAAGUAAUUAUAAGGAACCAUGAUAACAAAAACUGUCCAUCACUAGAGAGCACUGAUUAAAUUACUUUUUUUCGUUUUAUUGAAAAUAGAUUUGUAGCUAGAGUUUUCCUGCCUGGCCCACAGUCAGGAUAAAUCUCUCUCACCUGCCAGUCCUUACAGCUUAAUUUAAUCCAUUUCCAUUAAUCUAUACCUUGCCACAUGGCUCGUGGCUUACCAGCAUCUUCACAUGCUGUUUCUCAUCGUGGCGGCUGGCAGUGUCUCUCUGACUCAGCCUUCCACUUCCCAGCCUUAUUCUCCUCCUUGUACUGCCUAUACUUCCUGCCUAGCCAAUGGCCAAUCAGUGUUUUAUUUAUUGACUAAUCAGCAACACAUUUGCCAUACAGAACAUCCCACAGCAUAGAUUAGAAACAUACAAUUUGAAGUAUAGGCAACUUCAGUUGCCUAUACUUCCUGCCUAGCCAAUGGCCAAUCAGUGUUUUAUUUAUUGACUAAUCAGCAACACAUUUGCCAUACAGAACAUCCCACAGCAUAGAAAAGAAUCAUAGAUUCUUUUCUCAUCUAAUGUAUCCUGAUUAACUUUUACCCUCCCUCUAUUCCUCCCAGUUCCUCUCCACCUCUUCUACACUCUGGAGCCACUUCCUUUCUGUCUCUCAUUAGAAAAAUAGAGGCUUCUAAGAGGUAACAACCAAACAUGGCAAAAUAAUAUACAAUAAGAUGAUGCAAAAAUAUAUCAAAGUUGGACACAGAAACCCAACAGGAAGAAAAGAGUCCUAAGAGCAGACACAAGAGUCAGAGACCCACUUGUUCUCACAGUCAUGAGUCUCAUUGAAAUACAAAGCUAAUAGCUAUCAUAUAUACACAGAGGACCUGGUGCAGAUCCAUGUAGGGCCUGUGCUUGCUGCUUUAGAUUCUGUGAGCUUAUAUGUGCCUUGUUUGGUUGAUUCAGAGCACCUUGUUCUCCUGGUAUCCUCCCAUCCACUCUGACUCUCACAAUCUUUCCUUCUCCUCUUCCAAGGGAUUCGCUGAUCUCUGACAAGAAGGAUUUGAUAGAGACAACCCACAUAGACUUUCUGUGGGUAAUGUCUGGCUGUCAAAUAUACUGGAUGGAGGAAAAGUUAUGAGCCAUGCAGCAGAAUGUAGAUUAAUAUAAAUUGAUUACUUUAAAUUAUAAGAGCAAGGGAACAAGCCUAAGCUAAGGCCAAGCAUUCUUAAUUAAUAACAAGUCUCUGUGUCAUUAUUGGGGAACAUGAAGUCCAAAGAAAAACUUGCUACAUCUCUGAAGUGGUAGUAAAAGUAUGGGUCUGUAUAGUAGGACAGACCCAUAGGGUUGAGGAAAUUGGUUCAAACCAGUUGCCAUGGCAUGCACAUAACUUACUUCUUUUGAGCCAACCUGGAGUCUGCCUGAGGGCCCAACAACAGGCACUGUUAGAGUUCCUGAUUAUGCCCAGACAAUGAGUGACAACCAUUCAAUGCCACCAAAUUGGGACACAGCUUGGGUGCUGAGAGGAGAGUAUAUAAGGCCUUCCCCAUUAUUGAAUAAAGGAGUCUGCUGUUUGCCUUCAACUAACUCCCGGUAUCUAUGUUGUUGACAUAACGCCUUCUCACCCCCUCCCCCAAGGGAGCUAUUAGGAUCCAGCAACAGAUCUGUCUUCAGCCUACUUGCUUCCCUGGAAAGAGUAGACUAUAGAUUAGCAGGGGAUGCCUGCUGGGGUGAGGGUCUGGGGCAAAGCAAAGAGUGAGGUGAGGGAGGUUAGAAGUGGAAGAUCUAUUUGAUUCACAGGAGAUAGGAGCUGGAGGCCAGAAAGACUGUCUGAUGUGUUCUGCUGCAAAGCUGGGUAUGAGACUGAGAGACAGGCUCUGGGUGAACAGGGAGAGAAGAGGUCUGUUGGAAGGCUACCUUGUUUGCUGGCAGGCAAGGCCUGUGGGUUAGAAGAGGGUGCCUGCUGUAGUUUGGGGCUGGGGUAAAGAGACCAUGUGUGGUGAGGAAGGUUAGGCUGGGAUGCUCUGUAGGAUCCACAGCAAAUGUGUACAUGAGGGAAAGAAAGUGUCAGCUGGUAUUCUGUUGCAACUAUAGGGAUGAGACUAGGGUAUUGGAUUUGGAGGGAAGGAGGGAAUGUUGAAGGUCUUCAGUUACCUUACCUGUUUACCUGUUCUGCUUAGCUGGUAUGUUCCCAGUGAAUGCUUAAAAUAUUACAAGUAAAUUUGCUAUACUCUCAAUUGACUUAUAUAUUAUUAUGGAUGCAUUUUGAGAUAAAAAUGCAUUUUAAUUGCUAAAGAUGGUUUUGUAGUCUUCUGUCAGUGACUUGUUAUGCCAGAACAUUUCCUGUGGCAAUAAAGAUUUGUUGU
Long non-coding RNA from Peromyscus californicus insignis, 7228 nucleotides. RefSeq lists it as uncharacterized. The transcript has 7 exons. Lineage: Eukaryota; Metazoa; Chordata; Mammalia; Rodentia; Cricetidae. The record is from RefSeq and is a predicted model, not a curated record.